GCCUGUACUCAAAAGGGACUGUGGGCUACUCGUGGGCUGGUCAUUGGUCCUGUAGGAGGAGAUGCUGAGAACCUUUUCCCUGUUUGGGAGGUCCACUCCUGUCCUUGCUAAACCUUGGUGCUUCCAAACA
This is a small nucleolar RNA of Acomys russatus (golden spiny mouse), 130 nucleotides long. RefSeq annotates it as small nucleolar RNA SNORA71. Lineage: Eukaryota; Metazoa; Chordata; Mammalia; Rodentia; Muridae. The transcript has a single exon. The record is from RefSeq and is a predicted model, not a curated record.